AUAAUGAUACUUCAAUAGUUUAUGCCGGCUCGUCUUGAACAAGGGGCGGUGGUGAGAAUCCAAUGU
RNAcentral lists this non-coding RNA (66 nucleotides) under unclassified sequences. RNAcentral's name for it is "pemK RNA". It matches the Rfam family "pemK RNA". The record is from RNAcentral.